GACGAACGCUGGCGGCGUGCUUAACACAUGCAAGUCGAACGGAAAGGCCUCUUUCGGGGGGUACUCGAGUGGCGAACGGGUGAGUAACACGUGAGUAACCUGCCCUUGACUUUGGGAUAACUUCAGGAAACUGGGGCUAAUGCCGGAUAGGAGCUCCUGCUGCAUGGUGGGGGUUGGAAAGUUUCGGCGGUUGGGGAUGGGCUCGCGGCUUAUCAGCUUGUUGGUGGGGUAGUGGCUUACCAAGGCUUUGACGGGUAGCCGGCCUGAGAGGGUGACCGGCCACAUUGGGACUGAGAUACGGCCCAGACUCCUACGGGAGGCAGCAGUGGGGAAUAUUGCACAAUGGGUGGAAGCCUGAUGCAGCAACGCCGUGUGCGGGAUGACGGCCUUCGGGUUGUAAACCGCUUUCGCUCAUGACGAAGCUUUGUGUGACGGUAGUGGGUAAAGAAGCACCGGCUAACUACGUG
Molecule: ribosomal RNA, 467 nt
Filed under: uncultured bacterium
Lineage: Bacteria
Description: partial 16S ribosomal RNA
Rfam family: Bacterial small subunit ribosomal RNA
Source: RNAcentral